Molecule: ribosomal RNA, 492 nt
Filed under: uncultured bacterium
Lineage: Bacteria
Description: partial 16S ribosomal RNA
Rfam family: Bacterial small subunit ribosomal RNA
Source: RNAcentral
AGUGAACGCUGGCGGUAGGCCUAACACAUGCAAGUCGAACGGCAGCACAGUAAGAGCUUGCUCUUACGGGUGGCGAGUGGCGGACGGGUGAGGAAUACAUCGGAAUCUACUUUUUCGUGGGGGAUAACGUAGGGAAACUUUCGGUAAUACCGCAUACGACCUACGGGUGAAAGCAGGGGAUCUUCGUACCUUGGGCGAUUGAAUGAGCCGAUGUCGGAUCAGCUAGUUGGCGGGGUAAAGGGCCACCAAGGGGACGAUCAGUAGCUGAUCUGAGAGAAUGAUCGGCCACACUGGGACUGGAACACGGUCCAGACUCCUACGGGGAGCAGCAGUGGGCAAUAUUGGGAGAUGGGCGCAAGCCUGAUCCAGCAAUACCGCGUGGGUGAAGAAGGCCUUCGGGUUGUAAAGCACUUUUGUUGGGAAAGAAAAGCAGCAGGUUAAUACCCCGCUGUUCUGACGGUACCCAAAGAAUAAGCACCGGCUAACUUCGUG